RNAcentral lists this ribosomal RNA (2900 nucleotides) under Klebsiella pneumoniae. RNAcentral describes it as "bacterial LSU rRNA". It matches the Rfam family "Bacterial large subunit ribosomal RNA". Lineage: Bacteria; Pseudomonadati; Pseudomonadota; Gammaproteobacteria; Enterobacterales; Enterobacteriaceae. The record is from RNAcentral.
UUAAGCGACUAAGCGUACACGGUGGAUGCCCUGGCAGUCAGAGGCGAUGAAGGACGUGCUAAUCUGCGAAAAGCGUCGGUAAGGUGAUAUGAACCGUUAUAACCGGCGAUGUCCGAAUGGGGAAACCCAGUGCAAUUCGUUGCACUAUCGUUAACUGAAUACAUAGGUUAACGAGGCGAACCGGGGGAACUGAAACAUCUAAGUACCCCGAGGAAAAGAAAUCAACCGAGAUUCCCCCAGUAGCGGCGAGCGAACGGGGAGCAGCCCAGAGUCUGAAUCAGCUUGUGUGUUAGUGGAACGGUCUGGAAAGUCCGACGGUACAGGGUGAUAGUCCCGUACACCAAAAUGCACAGGCUGUGAACUCGAAGAGUAGGGCGGGACACGUGGUAUCCUGUCUGAAUAUGGGGGGACCAUCCUCCAAGGCUAAAUACUCCUGACUGACCGAUAGUGAACCAGUACCGUGAGGGAAAGGCGAAAAGAACCCCGGCGAGGGGAGUGAAAAAGAACCUGAAACCGUGUACGUACAAGCAGUGGGAGCACCUUCGGGUGUGACUGCGUACCUUUUGUAUAAUGGGUCAGCGACUUAUAUUCUGUAGCAAGGUUAACCGUAUAGGGGAGCCGCAGGGAAACCGAGUCUUAACUGGGCGUUAAGUUGCAGGGUAUAGACCCGAAACCCGGUGAUCUAGCCAUGGGCAGGUUGAAGGUUGGGUAACACUAACUGGAGGACCGAACCGACUAAUGUUGAAAAAUUAGCGGAUGACUUGUGGCUGGGGGUGAAAGGCCAAUCAAACCGGGAGAUAGCUGGUUCUCCCCGAAAGCUAUUUAGGUAGCGCCUCGUGAAUUCAUCUUCGGGGGUAGAGCACUGUUUCGGCUAGGGGGUCAUCCCGACUUACCAACCCGAUGCAAACUACGAAUACCGAAGAAUGUUAUCACGGGAGACACACGGCGGGUGCUAACGUCCGUCGUGAAGAGGGAAACAACCCAGACCGCCAGCUAAGGUCCCAAAGUCAUGGUUAAGUGGGAAACGAUGUGGGAAGGCACAGACAGCCAGGAUGUUGGCUUAGAAGCAGCCAUCAUUUAAAGAAAGCGUAAUAGCUCACUGGUCGAGUCGGCCUGCGCGGAAGAUGUAACGGGGCUAAACCAUGCACCGAAGCUGCGGCAGCGACACUAUGUGUUGUUGGGUAGGGGAGCGUUCUGUAAGCCUGCGAAGGUGACCUGUGAGGGUUGCUGGAGGUAUCAGAAGUGCGAAUGCUGACAUAAGUAACGAUAAAGCGGGUGAAAAGCCCGCUCGCCGGAAGACCAAGGGUUCCUGUCCAACGUUAAUCGGGGCAGGGUGAGUCGACCCCUAAGGCGAGGCCGAAAGGCGUAGUCGAUGGGAAACAGGUUAAUAUUCCUGUACUUGGUGUUACUGCGAAGGGGGGACGGAGAAGGCUAUGUUAGCCGGGCGACGGUUGUCCCGGUUUAAGCAUGUAGGCUGGUUAUCCAGGCAAAUCCGGAUAAUCAAGGCUGAGGUGUGAUGACGAGGCACUACGGUGCUGAAGUAACAAAUGCCCUGCUUCCAGGAAAAGCCUCUAAGCAUCAGGUAACAUUAAAUCGUACCCCAAACCGACACAGGUGGUCAGGUAGAGAAUACCAAGGCGCUUGAGAGAACUCGGGUGAAGGAACUAGGCAAAAUGGUGCCGUAACUUCGGGAGAAGGCACGCUGGUGUGUAGGUGAAGUCCCUGCGGAUGGAGCUGAGACCAGUCGAAGAUACCAGCUGGCUGCAACUGUUUAUUAAAAACACAGCACUGUGCAAACACGAAAGUGGACGUAUACGGUGUGACGCCUGCCCGGUGCCGGAAGGUUAAUUGAUGGGGUUAUCCGUAAGGAGAAGCUCUUGAUCGAAGCCCCGGUAAACGGCGGCCGUAACUAUAACGGUCCUAAGGUAGCGAAAUUCCUUGUCGGGUAAGUUCCGACCUGCACGAAUGGCGUAAUGAUGGCCAGGCUGUCUCCACCCGAGACUCAGUGAAAUUGAACUCGCUGUGAAGAUGCAGUGUACCCGCGGCAAGACGGAAAGACCCCGUGAACCUUUACUAUAGCUUGACACUGAACAUUGAGCCUUGAUGUGUAGGAUAGGUGGGAGGCUUUGAAGCGUGGACGCCAGUCUGCGUGGAGCCAACCUUGAAAUACCACCCUUUAAUGUUUGAUGUUCUAACGUUGGCCCCUGACCGGGGUUGCGGACAGUGUCUGGUGGGUAGUUUGACUGGGGCGGUCUCCUCCCAAAGCGUAACGGAGGAGCACGAAGGUUAGCUAAUCCUGGUCGGACAUCAGGAGGUUAGUGCAAUGGCAUAAGCUGGCUUGACUGCGAGCGUGACGGCGCGAGCAGGUGCGAAAGCAGGUCAUAGUGAUCCGGUGGUUCUGAAUGGAAGGGCCAUCGCUCAACGGAUAAAAGGUACUCCGGGGAUAACAGGCUGAUACCGCCCAAGAGUUCAUAUCGACGGCGGUGUUUGGCACCUCGAUGUCGGCUCAUCACAUCCUGGGGCUGAAGUAGGUCCCAAGGGUAUGGCUGUUCGCCAUUUAAAGUGGUACGCGAGCUGGGUUUAGAACGUCGUGAGACAGUUCGGUCCCUAUCUGCCGUGGGCGCUGGAGAAUUGAGGGGGGCUGCUCCUAGUACGAGAGGACCGGAGUGGACGCAUCACUGGUGUUCGGGUUGUCAUGCCAAUGGCACUGCCCGGUAGCUAAAUGCGGAAGAGAUAAGUGCUGAAAGCAUCUAAGCACGAAACUUGCCCCGAGAUGAGUUCUCCCUGAGACUUUAAGUCUCCUGAAGGAACGUUGAAGACGAUGACGUUGAUAGGCCGGGUGUGUAAGCGCAGCGAUGCGUUGAGCUAACCGGUACUAAUGAACCGUGAGGCUUAACCUU